Molecule: ribosomal RNA, 471 nt
Filed under: Triticum aestivum (bread wheat)
Lineage: Eukaryota; Viridiplantae; Streptophyta; Magnoliopsida; Poales; Poaceae
Description: partial small subunit ribosomal RNA
Source: RNAcentral
AUGAUACUAUGCAAGAUGCGUAAGCUGGGGAUGGCAUGGCAGUGCAUGCUGAUGCUGUCGGUCAAGAAGUACCAUACCGCUCUUGCCUUCCCUGCCAAUGCUUCCUCUUGCCAUGCUAGCCAUGUGUGGCCUCACCUUUGUUUAUCAAUUCGUGCGCAGUCCAAAAUUCUUGGAAAUUCUCUUGUUGCUGUUAUAAUGUGGGUGUGUUCGGCUUCCUUCUUCAUUAAAGGUAUGUUUGUUUGGGCUGCAAUUUCCAUGGCUGCAGCUGAAGGAGCGGCUGUAGCCGGUGAUGAAGAGAGGCACUUUGCAUUUGCCCACCAGAAGUACAGAUCGGUAAAGUACAGAGAAGCUUCAGAGCAUGGCAACAUUGUUUAUGAGAAGAUCACGACAAACUACUUCUUGGAGUUACUACUAUCAGUUUAUGACUUGGUGCUAGCUGAAGCUUCUAUUUUCUACCCAAACUGCUAUUAA